Molecule: ribosomal RNA, 253 nt
Filed under: uncultured bacterium
Lineage: Bacteria
Description: partial 16S ribosomal RNA
Rfam family: Bacterial small subunit ribosomal RNA
Source: RNAcentral
UACGUAGGGGGCUAGCGUUGUCCGGAUUUAUUGGGCGUAAAGAGCGUGUAGGCGGCCAGGUAGGUCUGGUGUGAAAACUCGAGGCUUAACCUCGAGAUGUCAUCGGAAACCAUCUGGCUAGAGUCCGGAAGAGGAGAGUGGAAUUCCUGGUGUAGCGGUGAAAUGCGCAGAUAUCAGGAAGAACACCGGUGGCGAAGGCGGGUCUCUGGGCCGAUAUUGACGCUGAGGAGCGAAAGCGUGGGGAGCGAACAGG